This 276-nucleotide long non-coding RNA is filed under the name Manihot esculenta (cassava). Its description in RNAcentral is "long non-coding RNA (MESC_LNC002829)". Lineage: Eukaryota; Viridiplantae; Streptophyta; Magnoliopsida; Malpighiales; Euphorbiaceae. The record is from RNAcentral.
CUGAAAAUGUUGCUUUAAUUGUAUAAAUAUGUCAUAUAAAUGUUAAAGUGGUGUUUGAAAGGCUUAGAGUAAAGAAAUUUAACAUGAGAGCUAAAAGUGCAAACCUGGCAGAAUAGGUUGUAACAGGGCAGCUUGUGUUGACAACUUUAUAACUUAUUGUGUAUUUAUUGAAAUUAGGCCUAAGAUAUACCAAAUGAAAUCUGAGACAAAGAUCUAAAACUUUCAUGAAUUGACCAAAUUCUGAAUCUGUAGGUAAGAUGAUGAAAAUUUUAAGUG